Molecule: ribosomal RNA, 463 nt
Filed under: Vreelandella stevensii
Lineage: Bacteria; Pseudomonadati; Pseudomonadota; Gammaproteobacteria; Oceanospirillales; Halomonadaceae
Description: partial 16S ribosomal RNA
Rfam family: Bacterial small subunit ribosomal RNA
Source: RNAcentral
CCUCGGUGGCAGCAGUGGGGAAUAUUGGACAAUGGGCGAAAGCCUGAUCCAGCCAUGCCGCGUGUGUGAAGAAGGCCUUCGGGUUGUAAAGCACUUUCAGUGGGGAAGAAAGCCUUGGGGCUAAUACCCUCGAGGAAGGACAUCACCCACAGAAGAAGCACCGGCUAACUCCGUGCCAGCAGCCGCGGUAAUACGGAGGGUGCGAGCGUUAAUCGGAAUUACUGGGCGUAAAGCGCGCGUAGGCGGUCUGAUAAGCCGGUUGUGAAAGCCCCGGGCUCAACCUGGGAACGGCAUCCGGAACUGUCAGGCUAGAGUGCAGGAGAGGAAGGUAGAAUUCCCGGUGUAGCGGUGAAAUGCGUAGAGAUCGGGAGGAAUACCAGUGGCGAAGGCGGCCUUCUGGACUGACACUGACGCUGAGGUGCGAAAGCGUGGGUAGCAAACAGGAUUAGAUACCCGAGUAGUC